GUGGGGAAUAUUGGACAAUGGGCGAAAGCCUGAUCCAGCCAUGCCGCGUGUGUGAAGAAGGUCUUCGGAUUGUAAAGCACUUUAAGCGAGGAGGAGGCUACCGAGAUUAAUACUCUUGGAUAGUGGACGUUACUCGCAGAAUAAGCACCGGCUAACUCUGUGCCAGCAGCCGCGGUAAUACAGAGGGUGCAAGCGUUAAUCGGAUUUACUGGGCGUAAAGCGCGCGUAGGUGGCCAAUUAAGUCAAAUGUGAAAUCCCCGAGCUUAACUUGGGAAUUGCAUUCGAUACUGGUUGGCUAGAGUAUGGGAGAGGAUGGUAGAAUUCCAGGUGUAGCGGUGAAAUGCGUAGAGAUCUGGAGGAAUACCGAUGGCGAAGGCAGCCAUCUGGCCUAAUACUGACACUGAGGUGCGAAAGCAUGGGGAGCAAACAGGAUUAGAAACCCGUGUAGUCC
This 451-nucleotide ribosomal RNA is filed under the name uncultured bacterium. RNAcentral describes it as "partial 16S ribosomal RNA". It matches the Rfam family "Bacterial small subunit ribosomal RNA", at positions 354 to 796 of the family's 1533-position model. The record is from RNAcentral.